This 241-nucleotide ribosomal RNA is filed under the name uncultured bacterium. RNAcentral's name for it is "partial 16S ribosomal RNA". It matches the Rfam family "Bacterial small subunit ribosomal RNA", at positions 100 to 334 of the family's 1533-position model. The record is from RNAcentral.
CCGGCACGGGUGAGUAACACGUAUGCAAUCCACCUGUAACAGGGGGAUAACCCGGAGAAAUUCGGACUAAUACCCCAUAAUAUGGGCGCUCCGCAUGGAGAGCCCAUUAAAGAGAGCAAUUUUGGUUACAGACGAGCAUGCGCUCCAUUAGCCAGUUGGCGGGGUAACGGCCCACCAAAGCGACGAUGGAUAGGGGUUCUGAGAGGAAGGUCCCCCACAUUGGAACUGAGACACGGUCCAA